ACGCUGGCGGCGUGCCUAAUACAUGCAAGUAGGACGCUGAAGAGAGGAGCUUGCUCUUCUUGGAUGAGUUGCGAACGGGUGAGUAACGCGUAGGUAACCUGCCUUGUAGCGGGGGAUAACUAUUGGAAACGAUAGCUAAUACCGCAUAACAAUGGGUGACACAUGUCAUUUAUUUGAAAGGGGCAAUUGCUCCACUACAAGAUGGACCUGCGUUGUAUUAGCUAGUAGGUGAGGUAACGGCUCACCUAGGCGACGAUACAUAGCCGACCUGAGAGGGUGAUCGGCCACACUGGGACUGAGACACGGCCCAGACUCCUACGGGAGGCAGCAGUAGGGAAUCUUCGGCAAUGGGGGCAACCCUGACCGAGCAACGCCGCGUGAGUGAAGAAGGUUUUCGGAUCGUAAAGCUCUGUUGUAAGUCAAGAACGAGUGUGAGAGUGGAAAGUUCACACUGUGACGGUAGCUUACCAGAAAGGGACGGCUAACUACGUGCCAGCAGCCGCGGUAAUACGUAGGUCCCGAGCGUUGUCCGGAUUUAUUGGGCGUAAAGCGAGCGCAGGCGGUUUGAUAAGUCUGAAGUUAAAGGCUGUGGCUCUACCAUAGUUCGCUUUGGAAACUGUCAAACUUGAGUGCAGAAGGGGAGAGUGGAAUUCCAUGUGUAGCGGUGAAAUGCGUAGAUAUAUGGAGGAACACCGGUGGCGAAAGCGGCUCUCUGGUCUGUAACUGACGCUGAGGCUCGAAAGCGUGGGGAGCGAACAGGAUUAGAUACCCUGGUAGUCCACGCCGUAAACGAUGAGUGCUAGGUGUUGGAUCCUUUCCGGGAUUCAGUGCCGCAGCUAACGCAUUAAGCACUCCGCCUGGGGAGUACGACCGCAAGGUUGAAACUCAAAGGAAUUGACGGGGGCCCGCAC
RNAcentral lists this ribosomal RNA (911 nucleotides) under uncultured bacterium. RNAcentral's name for it is "bacterial SSU rRNA". It matches the Rfam family "Bacterial small subunit ribosomal RNA", at positions 33 to 926 of the family's 1533-position model. The record is from RNAcentral.